GGGCAUGUGGUCUAGAGGUAUGAUUUCCGCUCGGGGUGCGGGAGGUCCCGGGUUCGAUUCCCGGCUUGCCCC
The sequence is a transfer RNA, 72 nucleotides long. It matches the Rfam family "tRNA". From Rfam's summary of the family: Transfer RNA (tRNA) molecules are approximately 80 nucleotides in length. Their secondary structure includes four short double-helical elements and three loops (D, anti-codon, and T loops). The record is from Rfam.